GCUUCCGGAUUGUGAUAAUUGAGUGGAUCUAUGCAUUGAGUUAGAAAUUGCACCUAAAAUUUUUUGUUUGUGCCCAACAAGAGAAAUGGGGUAAGUUUUGAAGUUAACGUUCGACUUCUCGGUGGUUUAAUGGUAUGACGGUACACAAUAGCAUCCAUUUUAAAAAGAAGUAGCCAUGUGUUCAAAUAUGAAAGCGUGUGCGUGAAAAUCGACUGGUUGGAACAAGUAAACCGACGUUAUGUUCAGGGUUUCAGAAAAAGUGGUGGACUUUGCAAGUGAAGGGUUUCUUGAAGGUCAGAGGCAUCUCCUGAGGGUGAUCCGAGCAGUAGUGUUGGUAAUCAAGGGAUGAUGUGGACAACCAUUUUGAUGAUGUGCCUUUAUAGGAUGUUGC
This 391-nucleotide long non-coding RNA is filed under the name Helianthus annuus (common sunflower). RNAcentral describes it as "sRNA HanXRQr2_Chr14g0650121". Lineage: Eukaryota; Viridiplantae; Streptophyta; Magnoliopsida; Asterales; Asteraceae. The record is from RNAcentral.